GGCGGCAUGCCUUACACAUGCAAGUCGAACGCGAAAGCGGGGCAGCCCGCAAGUAGAGUGACGAACGGGUGAGUAAUGCAUCGGAACAUUUCCAGUAGCGGGGGAUAACCUGUCGAAAGAUAGGCUAAUACCGCAUACGCCCCACGGGGGAAAGCGGAGGACCGCAAGGCUUCUCACUAUUGGAGUGGCCGAUGUCGGAUUAGCUAGCUGGCGGGGUAACGGCCCACCAAGGCGACGAUCCGUAGCUGGUCUGAGAGGACGAUCAGCCACACUGGAACUGAGACACGGUCCAGACUCCUACGGGAGGCAGCAGUGGGGAAUUUUGGACAAUGGGCGCAAGCCUGAUCCAGCCAUGCCGCGUGAGUGAAGAAGGCCUUCGGGUUGUAAAGCUCUUUCGGCGGGGACGAAAUGGUCCGUGCUAACACCACGGACUGAUGACGGUACCCGAAGAAGAAGCACCAGCUAACUACGUUCCAGCAGCCGCGGUAAUACGUAGGGUGCAGGCGUUAAUCGGAAUUACUGGGCGUAAAGCGUGCGCAGGCGGUUUGUUAAGACAGAUGUGAAAUCCCCGGGCUUAACCUGGGAAUUGCGUUUGUAACUGGCAAGCUAGAGUGUGGCAGAGGGGGGUGGAAUUCCAAGUGUAGCAGUGAAAUGCGUAGAUAUUUGGAGGAACACCGAUGGCGAAGGCAGCCCCCUGGGCUAACACUGACGCUCAUGCACGAAAGCGUGGGGAGCAAACAGGAUUAGAUACCCUGGUAGUCCACGCCCUAAACUAUGUCAACUGGUUGUCGGGGAAGCAAUUCCUUGGUAACGAAGCUAACGCGUGAAGUUGACCGCCUGGGGAGUACGGCCGCAAGGUUAAAACUCAAAGGAAUUGACGGGGACCCGCACAAGCGGUGGAUUAUGUGGAUUAAUUCGAUGCAACGCGAAAAACCUUACCUACCCUUGACAUGUACGGAAUCUCGCAGAGAUGUGAGAGUGCUCGAAAGAGAACCGUAACACAGGUGCUGCAUGGCUGUCGUCAGCUCGUGUCGUGAGAUGUUGGGUUAAGUCCCGCAACGAGCGCAACCCUUGCCAUUAGUUGCUACAUUCAGUUGGGCACUCUAAUGGAACUGCCGGUGACAAACCGGAGGAAGGUGGGGAUGACGUCAAGUCCUCAUGGCCCUUAUGGGUAGGGCUUCACACGUAAUACAAUGGCAGGUACAGAGGGCAGCCAACCCGCGAGGGGGAGCUGAUCCCAGAAAGCCUGUCGUAGUCCGGAUUGUAGUCUGCAACUCGACUACAUGAAGCCGGAAUCGCUAGUAAUCGCGGAUCAGCAUGUCGCGGUGAAUACGUUCCCGGGUCUUGUACACACCGCCCGUCACACCAUGGGAGUGGGUUUCACCAGAAGUAGUUAGCCUAACCGCAAGGAGGGCGACUACCACGGUGAGAUUCAUGACUGGGGUGAAGUCGAAACAAGGUA
RNAcentral lists this ribosomal RNA (1462 nucleotides) under metagenome. RNAcentral's name for it is "bacterial SSU rRNA". It matches the Rfam family "Bacterial small subunit ribosomal RNA". The record is from RNAcentral.